This 71-nucleotide transfer RNA is filed under the name Pedobacter sp. RNAcentral describes it as "tRNA-Cys". It matches the Rfam family "tRNA". From Rfam's summary of the family: Transfer RNA (tRNA) molecules are approximately 80 nucleotides in length. The record is from RNAcentral. RNAcentral also lists the same sequence under 2 other names. Lineage: Bacteria; Pseudomonadati; Bacteroidota; Sphingobacteriia; Sphingobacteriales; Sphingobacteriaceae.
AGUCAUGUGGCCGAGAGGAUAGGUAGGGGUCUGCAAAACCUUCCACGGUGGUUCGAAUCCACCCAUGACGU